Molecule: ribosomal RNA, 492 nt
Filed under: uncultured bacterium
Lineage: Bacteria
Description: partial 16S ribosomal RNA
Rfam family: Bacterial small subunit ribosomal RNA
Source: RNAcentral
AGUGAACGCUGGCGGUAGGCCUAACACAUGCAAGUCGAACGGCAGCACAGUAAGAGCUUGCUCUUACGGGUGGCGAGUGGCGGACGGGUGAGGAAUACAUCGGAAUCUACUUUUUCGUGGGGGAUAACGUAGGGAAACUUACGCUAAUACCGCAUACGACCUACGGGUGAAAGCAGGGGAUCUUCGGACCUUGCGCGAUUGAAUGAGCCGAUGUCGGAUUAGCUAGUUGGCGGGGUAAAGGCCCACCAAGGCGACGAUCCGUAGCUGGUCUGAGAGGAGGCAGAGCGAAGCUGGAGGUAAGAGAGGGCACUGGCUCAUACCCGGGGCAAGCGAGAGGAAUUGUGGACAAUGGGCGCUAGUCUUAUCCAGCCAUUCCGCUUGGAAACAAAAGGCCCUCGUUAUGUACCGCCUUUUUUGUCGGUAAGAAAAGCAUCAGCUUAAUCCCACGCCGUUCUGACGGUACCUAAAAAAUAAGCACCGACUAACUUCACG